RNAcentral lists this ribosomal RNA (387 nucleotides) under uncultured bacterium. RNAcentral describes it as "bacterial SSU rRNA". It matches the Rfam family "Bacterial small subunit ribosomal RNA", at positions 28 to 417 of the family's 1533-position model. The record is from RNAcentral.
GACGAACGCUGGCGGCGUGCUUAACACAUGCAAGUCGAGCGGUAAGGCCCUUUCGGGGGUACACGAGCGGCGAACGGGUGAGUAACACGUGGGCGACCUACCCUCAGCUUCGGGAUAAGCCUGGGAAACUGGGUCUAAUACUGGAUAUGACUCCACGGUGCAUGUCGUGGGGUGGAAAGCCUUGUGCGGCUGAGGAUGGGCCCGCGGCCUAUCAGCUUGUUGGUGGGGUGAUGGCCACCAAGGCGACGACGGGUAGCCGGCCUGAGAGGGCGACCGGCCACACUGGGACUGAGACACGGCCCAGACUCCUACGGGAGGCAGCAGUGGGGAAUCUUGCGCAAUGGGCGAAAGCCUGACGCAGCGACGCCGCGUGAGGGAUGACGGCCU